RNAcentral lists this transfer RNA (73 nucleotides) under Stephanopyxis turris. Its description in RNAcentral is "tRNA-Pro". It matches the Rfam family "tRNA". Rfam says of the family: Transfer RNA (tRNA) molecules are approximately 80 nucleotides in length. Their secondary structure includes four short double-helical elements and three loops (D, anti-codon, and T loops). Lineage: Eukaryota; Bacillariophyta; Melosirophyceae; Stephanopyxales; Stephanopyxidaceae. The record is from RNAcentral.
CGAAAUAUAACGCAGUUGGUAGCGUGCCUGUUUUGGGAACAGGAAGUCAUGGGUUCAAGUCCCGUUGUUUCGA